Molecule: ribosomal RNA, 513 nt
Filed under: uncultured bacterium
Lineage: Bacteria
Description: partial 16S ribosomal RNA
Rfam family: Bacterial small subunit ribosomal RNA
Source: RNAcentral
GAUGAACGCUGGCGGCGUGCCUAAUACAUGCAAGUCGAGCGAACAGAUAAGGAGCUUGCUCCUUUGACGUUAGCGGCGGACGGGUGAGUAACACGUGGGUAACCUACCUAUAAGACUGGAAUAACUCCGGGAAACCGGGGCUAAUGCCGGAUAACAUUUAGAACCGCAUGGUUCUAAAGUGAAAGAUGGUUUUGCUAUCACUUAUAGAUGGACCCGCGCCGUAUUAGCUAGUUGGUAAGGUAAUGGCUUACCAAGGCAAAGAUACGUAGCCGACCUGAGAGGGUGAUCGGCCACACUGGAACUGAGACACGGUCCAGACUCCUACGGGAGGCAGCAGUAGGGAAUCUUCCGCAAUGGGCGAAAGCCUGACGGAGCAACGCCGCGUGAGUGAUGAAGGGUUUCGGCUCGUAAAACUCUGUUAUUGGGGAAGAACAAACGUGUAAGUAACUGUGCACGUCUUGACGGUACCUAAUCAGAAAGCCACGGCUAACUACGUGCCAGCCGCCGCCGUAA